CAGAGCGUGAGGCUCAGUCGUGGCGUCAGCUGCGUGCUGGGCCGACCCUCCCACCCGUGUCGAUUUCUAUCUUGUUGCUUUGGCGGGCCGGGCUACGUCGUCGCUGCCCGUACGGACAUGCGUCGGCCGCCCACCGGUUUCGACUGGAGCGCGUCCGCCAAAGACCUAACCAAAACUCAUGUUGUCUUUGUCGUCUCAGCUUUAUUAUUGAAUUGAUA
Molecule: unclassified non-coding RNA, 218 nt
Filed under: Erysiphe aquilegiae
Lineage: Eukaryota; Fungi; Ascomycota; Leotiomycetes; Helotiales; Erysiphaceae
Also listed under: 1 other name
Description: sequence contains ITS1
Source: RNAcentral